GUCGGGCAUGGUGGCGUGUGCCUGUAAUCCCAGCUACUCAGGAGGCUGAGGCAGGAGAAUCGCUUGAACCUGGGAGGCGGAGGUUGCAGUGAGCUGAGAUGGCGCCACUGCACUCCAGCCUGGGUGACAGAGCGAGACUCCGUCUCAA
Molecule: unclassified non-coding RNA, 148 nt
Organism: Pongo abelii (Sumatran orangutan)
Lineage: Eukaryota; Metazoa; Chordata; Mammalia; Primates; Hominidae
Rfam family: Metazoan signal recognition particle RNA
About the family: The signal recognition particle (SRP) is a universally conserved ribonucleoprotein. It is involved in the co-translational targeting of proteins to membranes. The eukaryotic SRP consists of a 300-nucleotide 7S RNA and six proteins: SRPs 72, 68, 54, 19, 14, and 9.
Source: Ensembl